Molecule: non-coding RNA, 510 nt
Organism: Cricetulus griseus (Chinese hamster)
Lineage: Eukaryota; Metazoa; Chordata; Mammalia; Rodentia; Cricetidae
Source: RefSeq, a predicted model, not a curated record
CCCCGCCCCUUCGCCGUUCAAGCCCCGCCCCCCGGCCCACUGCACGGGAACGUGGCAGCGGCCCUUGAAAAGUGGCUCUCUGAGGACCGGUCACCGAACCGCUGUCCUAGCCCGCUAUGCGGUUGUCUGCGGGAGCCUGGGAGCAUCUGGACCGCUGGUGCAAGAGCGGCCUGGGAGGUCAUGCAGGACCUCAUCAGGAUUCAGGUGGCUAGUAACUCUGGACCCCAGGACCCUUGUAGUCCUCACUAGCCAGUCGUGCCUUGGGGCUGUAGACUCUUCCUCUUGUGAAGACAGCCUUUCAGACUUGGGCUGUGGGGUGGAAGCUAAACCUGGACCUGCUGCCUGAACUUCCCCCCAACUGGGCCUCCCACAAGGACCGUAGGCCUGCCAAGAAUAAUGGCCCAGGCCAAGUGAACCUGGCUCUGGUGUGGGCUUGUCUUUGGAAGGGCUGAAAGAACAGGAGACUGGAAGCCUUUGGAGCACAAUAAAUGAUUGCUGAACUUGACCUGA